AAGCUCGUAGUUGAAUCGGGGUUAGUAGGUUGGUCAUGCCUCUGGUAUGUACUGGUCUCACUGAUUCCUCCUUCCUUAUGAACCGUAAUGCCAUUAAUUUGGUGUUGCGGGGAAUUUGGACUGUUACUUUGAAAAAAUUAGAGUGUUUAAAGCAAGCUAACGCUUGAAUACAUUAGCAUGGAAUAAUGAAAUAGGACGUUCGAUCUUAUUUUGUUGGUUUCUAGGAUUGACGUAAUGAUUAAUAGGGAUAGUUGGG
RNAcentral lists this ribosomal RNA (256 nucleotides) under uncultured Glomus. Its description in RNAcentral is "partial 18S ribosomal RNA". It matches the Rfam family "Eukaryotic small subunit ribosomal RNA", at positions 624 to 886 of the family's 1831-position model. Lineage: Eukaryota; Fungi; Glomeromycota; Glomeromycetes; Glomerales; Glomeraceae. The record is from RNAcentral.